GGGUGAGUAAUGUAUCGGAACGUGCCCAGUCGUGGGGGAUAACUGCUCGAAAGAGCAGCUAAUACCGCAUACGACCUGAGGGUGAAAGCGGGGGAUCGCAAGACCUCGCGCGAUUGGAGCGGCCGACAUCAGAUUAGGUAGUUGGUGAGGUAAAGGCUCACCAAGCCGACGAUCUGUAGCUGGUCUGAGAGGACGACCAGCCACACUGGGACUGAGACACGGCCCAGACUCCUACGGGAGGCAGCAGUGGGGAAUUUUGGACAAUGGGCGCAAGCCUGAUCCAGCCAUGCCGCGUGCGGGAAGAAGGCCUUCGGGUUGUAAACCGCUUUUGUCAGGGAAGAAAAGGUUCUGGCUAAUACCUGGGACUCAUGACGGUACCUGAAGAAUAAGCACCGGCUAACUACGUGCCAGCAGCCGCGGUAAUACGUAGGGUGCAAGCGUUAAUCGGAAUUACUGGGCGUAAAGCGUGCGCAGGCGGUUAUGCAAGACAGAGGUGAAAUCCCCGGGCUCAACCUGGGAACUGCCUUUGUGACUGCAUGGCUAGAGUACGGUAGAGGGGGAUGGAAUUCCGCGUGUAGCAGUGAAAUGCGUAGAUAUGCGGAGGAACACCGAUGGCGAAGGCAAUCCCCUGGACCUGUACUGACGCUCAUGCACGA
This 656-nucleotide ribosomal RNA is filed under the name uncultured Roseateles sp. RNAcentral's name for it is "bacterial SSU rRNA". It matches the Rfam family "Bacterial small subunit ribosomal RNA", at positions 104 to 756 of the family's 1533-position model. Lineage: Bacteria; Pseudomonadati; Pseudomonadota; Betaproteobacteria; Burkholderiales; Sphaerotilaceae. The record is from RNAcentral.